Molecule: ribosomal RNA, 465 nt
Filed under: Vreelandella stevensii
Lineage: Bacteria; Pseudomonadati; Pseudomonadota; Gammaproteobacteria; Oceanospirillales; Halomonadaceae
Description: partial 16S ribosomal RNA
Rfam family: Bacterial small subunit ribosomal RNA
Source: RNAcentral
CCUACGGGUGGCUGCAGUGGGGAAUAUUGGACAAUGGGGGGAACCCUGAUCCAGCCAUGCCGCGUGUGUGAAGAAGGCCCUCGGGUUGUAAAGCACUUUCAGUGAGGAAGAACGCCUGGUGGUUAAUACCCAUCAGGAAAGACAUCACUCACAGAAGAAGCACCGGCUAACUCCGUGCCAGCAGUCGCGGUAAUACGGAGGGUGCGAGCGUUAAUCGGAAUUACUGGGCGUAAAGCGCGCGUAGGUGGCUUGAUAAGCCGGUUGUGAAAGCCCCGGGCUCAACCUGGGAACGGCAUCCGGAACUGUCAAGCUAGAGUGCAGGAGAGGAAGGUAGAAUUCCCGGUGUAGCGGUGAAAUGCGUAGAGAUCGGGAGGAAUACCAGUGGCGAAGGCGGCCUUCUGGACUGACACUGACACUGGGGUGCGAAAGCGUGGGUAGCAAACAGGAUUAGAUACCCUUGUAGUC